CCGUUUUCACUAAGUGGAAUCAAACCGCUACCACAUCAUCCUAGUUGGAUACCGGCCCACUAUAUCCGAGGUGUUUAUUACCCGAUAUUCCAUUAACCUUUCAAAUAAAAUCAUUUUUAUGCAACUUUUCGAAAUUAUGCUUAUGACCCACACAUAACAUCACAAAUGUCAAUCAAGUGUCACAAAUCACACAAAUACCACAAUUUACCACAUAUUUAUGAUUUGAGCAAAAAUCCCAAUUUCACACACAACCUGUAACACCCUCCAUGUCGUUUAUAUAAUUAAGAAUAGUUUUUAGAAAAAUGGACUUUAUUAAAACCUUCGGAUCCUACUGAUCCUUUAGAAAAUAAGUUUGGAAAUCAUCAAAGCAUUUUUCUUUCUUCAAAACAUAACCCACAUUUGAAAGAUAUAAUUUUCAUAAAGAGUGCUACUUCAACAUAGACGGGGUUUUAAAGCAAUACUUGUAAUACAGCGGAACACAAAAUAACUUUAUUUUACAUACACCCCGGUUUAAUAGACUAGAUUCCUAAAUAGAGUACAUUAUAAUUACAACUAUAAACUUCUCAAGUUAAAGCACUUAAAAAGAAAGUGACUAAUAGAAUCUUUGAAAAUAGUCGGUUGAUAUAAAAGCUCGUGAUUCCUCGAACUCCGCUCCACCAGUUUCCAUAACCGCUUCGAGCACCUCAACCUUGACAUGGGCGAAGAGUUUUCCCCUGCUUCACGUAUACUCACAAGGUGUACUCACACAAACAAAAUAUUGCAUUCACAUGGGGAUACAACGACCAAUUAGCUGUAGUACAUAUAGACAUCAAGUCCCUAUAGUCUGUAUUAACAUAUAUAACACAAAUGCAAUAUGACGGGAUACCUAUCAGAUUCAUAACAUGGUUAUCGGUAAUAGACGUCGAUAUUCUGAGCCCGUUUAUUUAUGGAAGCUAUCCACUCUAUAGUCUAUAGUACCGUAGUUGGAAUACCGGCCCCUCCGUAUUUCCGUGUCUACUCGACCGAUAGCCAUUUAAGAUUCUGACUUCCUAUACUGACCAUGCAAUAUCAUAAAUGACAAAUCAUACAAACAAUUCAAAACGUAUAAACAAACAUACUCAUACUUAUGUCAAUACAAUUACUAUAAUGUGACGGUAUCCCUAUCAGAUUCAUAACAUGGUUAUCGGUAAUAGACGUCGAUAUUCUGAGCCUGUUUUGAGGGGAGCUACCCACUCUAGUCUAUAGUACCGUAGUUGGAAUACUGGCCCCUCGUAUUCCCGUGUUUACUCGACCGAUAACCAUAUUAAGAUUCUGACGUUCCUAUACUUGCUCAUGCAAUACCAUAAAUGACAAAUCAUUCAACUCCAAUAAUAUAACCAUGUUAGAUCGAACUUGCACUUAGCAUAAAACACGUAACCAUAUAACACAUAACCAAAUAGCUAACAAACAUAUUCAAAACAUUUUCUCCCUUAGAGUUGAUUCUUCAAAUAACUCACAUAAUCAAUUCAAAUUGCAUAAAUAAACAUUCUUAUAACUCACAUAUAUUAUGCAACGUACACGUACCAUAUACAAGAGGUAUCACAUACAAGAGAAGGGGAUUAUCAUAUUAUUUCAUAUAACCACUUUCAUAGUUAUAACAUACCAAAGUGAUUAUCUUAAAUGCAUCAUUCAUGCGUUUCCUAAGCUAUACAUUUAUGUGAACAUAUAAGCAUACGAUAAUCAUAAUAGCACAUACGCACAUAAUAUAUGAAAUCCGAAUCCACAUAUUCUAUUCCAAAGAACUACAAGGAAAUCUGGCAGAUUCGGUACUUCAACUUUGGAAAUUCAUAUCUCUUAAACCGUACAUACAAACCUUAUGAAAUUAUCACACAACGUUCCCAUAUUAGAGAAUUAUAUCAUAUCAAAACAGUGCAGUAAAAUACCUAUCCAUGAGAGAGGAAUAAUUAAUUUAGUACAGCAACAGCAGCAGAAUUUUAGAACAGAGUAUUCAACUUUGAAAAUAUCAAAUAGAUCAUUCUUUCAACGAAACACCAUGAAAUUUCACGAAGAAUCAGAUUUAUAAGUCUAUAAUCAUAUCCAGUUGGAAUCGCAUGAAUCAGAACAAGGUAAAAUCUAAUUUAACACAUAAUUCAUAGAUGACUCAGAAAUCGUGCAGUUUCAGAAAACCGUUCAUAACUUGAUCAAUAAAAUUCCGAUUUAUGCAUACCAUAUAUCAAAACGAAGCUAACAGAAACAUGUACACGCACAAUUAAUUUCAUAAUUUUCGUAAAAUAAAUCAUCGAUGAAACAUGCACUGAAAUCUGUAGGUUACGAAUCUGGAAAUCGAAUUGGGGUUCAUUGAAAUCUAUAUUUCAUGACCUAGAUCCCUAAAUCCGAUUCCUAAGCAUAUUAAUCAAUUAAAACACAUAAACAUCAUCUUAUUAUUAUCAUUAAUUCAGUAAAGACCAAAAGUCCUUACCUCUUUGAAGAAAAAUCGAAGACAAAGGGAAAGAGUAAACCGAAGGAUUCUUGGAACCUUUGGCUUGAAGACUUUUGGGGCUGAACUUGGAGGCUAUCGAGUGCCCGAUCUUCUUGCUAGUGUGGGGGAUUUUAUAGGGAAAUUAAUCCCAUUAAUUAGAUAUGAAACUUCCCGGAGAAGAAGGGAAAUUUGAUGAGUUCUCAUUGAAUCUGCCUGGGUGAGGCUGCCGAUGGAUGAGAGGAAGAAGAGUGAAGACCCAAAUUCCCCCGUUCCUUCUCGGAACUCCCGUCGGGAAAAUAGAGAAGGAAAGAGGAGGAAUCUUCCUUGGCUUAUACUAGGAAAUUAGGAGGAAGUUUCCCAAGGGCUAUUGUGCAAUAUUUAAAACCAUGGGGGUCCUAAUAGCAAUUCAGAAAAUAUGUUGUACACUAGACUACAUACUCUAAACAUGCAUAUACGGCACAUACAUGGCAAUCAUACACAAAUCAUAAUACAUGUAUCUAUAACAAUUAGAGAUUAAUACAUAGAUUAAUUACUACAUCUUAACUCAUGUAGCAUAUAUAUAUAUACACAAUAUUCAUAUAUGCAUCCACAUUCAUUAAACCAUAAAUCGUAAAACAAUUAAAGAUACAUUGCAUAGAUUAAUUAUUCAUUUUAAACACAUGAUGCAUUUAAUCACAUAAAUAGAAUUACUUAAUCAUUCAAUCAAAUCGAGUUGAUCGCACAUUGCUCAUAUAUAGACAUAACCUAAAAUAGCACAGUACAUAUAAACCACGUAAUCAUUUAGGGUACGCAAAAGUUACUAAUUAAUUCAUGAAUUGGAAAUUAUCGAUUUACUCAAUAUAAUUUCAUAUAAUAUGCUUAUGAAAAUGCGGGGCGUUACAAUCUUCCCCCCUUAAAAUAAAUUUUGUCCUCAAAAUUUGAAAAAUUCUCCAUAAAAGAUGAUGAUACCGAGUUAUGACAAAAAUCCUUUUCUACCCAUGAUUGGGUAAAUUUCAUUUUGAUCGAGGUUACCAAAUAAUUUGAAAAAUAGUUCCUCAACUCUUGGCAAGAGUCAUUUCAUGACUAAAAUCUGAAACAUGCAUUUCGUAAAAGAUUCUUUAAAAGAAAUUUUGAAAAGAGCCUUAGCAUGAGUAUCAUUACUCGAGGAAAAUCGAAAUCGAGUCUCAGUGAGACAUCCAAAUUUUCUGGAAUAAAAUUCAAUUUAGAAAUACCCUUUAACAGUUAAAAUUCUCUUGCCCUCACAAAAACAUUUUGCCGCAUGGUACCCCUGGAUGCAUAUUAAUCAUGCUUAGUCCUAAGUCCUAAUAUGCACAUAAGAUUCACAUAAACAAUUUGUAAUGUAUGGCAUCACCAAUCAAUAAAAUGCAUCACAUAGUUUAACUCAGAUAGGUUUCAUCAUAUCAUAUAUCGUUGAUUCAUUAACCUUUAAUAACGAGAAUUAGGACAUGCUACAAUCUCUUCAAGUCACAUAAAUAGAUAAUCACCUACACAUAAAUUGCACAUAAAACCAAAGCUAGAACAUAAUUUCAAAACUUAAGGAUAUGAAUUGCAUACCUCCAAUUUCUGCUGAGUACAAUUUGACAAUGGGUUUGAGUCAGUGAUUGGAAAACUUCCUUUUCUCGAUCUUGAUUCCCGUAGAAUUUCUGUAACUGUGGGCCUAGUUGAAGUGAAGAGAUUUGAAUUCCUACUGAUAUCGUAGAAUUCCUUAUCCAAGUUAGGUACUAUAUGAACAAGCCUGAGAAAACCCCUGUAUAGCUUCUUCGAUUUCGCGAUAAAGAUAAAUAUGACCAACAGUGGUUCGAAUGUAUAUAAAAGAACUUUUUUUUUUUUUUUUUUUUAUACUUCUUACUAGCUUUUAUUCUUUAAAACUCAAAGUUUCGUAAGAAAUCAAUUUUUUUCAAUCCAUUCGAGCAUUUCAAAUAACUCGAAGACGGUUUUACAAGUAUCCUCUUAUAAAAAUAAUCUUGACCAUGUAGAGGCAUCACAAUAGUCAAUCAAGUAAAAUGAAAUGAAAGCUGAAAUAUGUCAGUAGUUUCAAAGACUUUAUUAAAAUCCAAAUUUGGUACUCAAGUUCCGAAAUCGAAACCUUUGAGCCCUUAAACUUCAUAAUUAAACCAUUCUCCCCAUAUUUUAUACUCUUAAAAGAGUCCUCAGUCAUUCAAUAACAAGUUCAUAGAUUUACAAUUACCACACCAUUCAAACAUACAAUAGCAUCAAGUAAAUACUCAAAUCAUAACCUUUCGUUCAAUGAUACAUAACAUAGCAUGAGACAAUUCAGGAAAUUCGAGACAUUGAACACAUAAAAAUCCACAUAGUUAAUUCCUAAAGUCCCGUACUUCAAAUUAGAGAUAAUUAAGUAACGACAUAAUUUAAUCACGUAGUUCGAACUCAUAUAAUCAAAGAUUAGCACAUACUUUUACGAUCACAUAAAAAUCCACAUAAUCCGAUUCAAGAGAUAGGAUAGUUAAUUUCUAAAGCCUCAUAAUCCGAUUCAAUAUAAUUUAAGCAUGUAGUUCGAACUCAUAAAAUCAAAGAUUACCACACUCUACUCUUAUGAUCACAUAAAAAUUCACAUAACUCGAUUCAAGAGAUAGGAUAGUAAAUUCCUAAAGUCGUAUGCCUCGAAUCAAGGAUAAUCAAGUAACAACACAAUUAAUUCACUCGAGUUCAUAAAAUCAAAGAUUAACACAAUCUACUCUUAUGGUCACAUAAAUAGAUUUGAGCAUAUUAACCAGGAAUUAAUUCUCAUCAAAUAAACAUACAAGCGAGAAGCUAUAAAAUACUCAAGUUUUGACAUAUAUCAAGCAUACAAGCCUCAUGUUAAAUAUCACCCAAAGCAUAAACAUGAAUUCUAUAAUUCAAUUUAAAAGAAAGAGCAUAUAAUACUCUACCCAAUCCACAUAAUUCGGACUCAAGCGAUCAGCCAAUUAAUUUCUAAAAUCAAAUAGAUCGAAUUAAAGUAAUAAAGGAAUAGUAUAGUUCGAAUUCUACAUAACUAAGGAUUAGCACAAUCGACCAUCAUGAUCAUAUAAUUUAACUCAAGUUUACUAUCAAGAGAUAAGAUUAAAUAAAUUAGUCAUAUAAAUGUCAAUCCAAUGAGAUGUUUAAGAUCCCAACAUAUACGAAGCACGCCCAUUUAAACAAACUCUCAACAAUUGUAAAUUUGAAAGAAAGGACAUAUCAUACCUUACUAAAUUCAGUUUUACUUCAAGCAUCACAUAAUAUGAACUACCCUUUAUAUCACAUAGUGCAAGUGUAUAUAUAUAACUUACUAAGAUCAACUAAACAUAUCACAAUCGAAUAUAAAGACAAGUCUAUAUAAAAUUCCAAUUCUCUACUUCAAAUAUUAGAUCAGACCAUUUCGAACAACAAUAAAUCUAACCUCGUAUUACGGCCAGGAGCUGGAGGAGAGAUCACGAAUGCCUUCGACCAUAAUCAGGAAUCCAGUAUAUUAAACACUGCUCUGAUACCAACUUGUAACACCCUCCAUGUCGUUUAUAUAAUUAAGAAUAGUUUUUAGAAAAAUGGACUUUAUUAAAACCUUCGGAUCCUACUGAUCCUUUAGAAAAUAAGUUUGGAAAUCAUCAAAGCAUUUUUCUUUCUUCAAAACAUAACCCACAUUUGAAAGAUAUAAUUUUCAUAAAGAGUGCUACUUCAACAUAGACGGGGUUUUAAAGCAAUACUUGUAAUACAGCAGAACACAAAAUAACUUUAUUUUACAUACACCCCGGUUUAAUAGACUAGAUUCCUAAAUAGAGUACAUUAUAAUUACAACUAUAAACUUCUCAAGUUAAAGCACUUAAAAAGAAAGUGACUAAUAGAAUCUUUGAAAAUAGUCGGUUGAUAUAAAAGCUCGUGAUUCCUCGAACUCCGCUCCACCAGUUUCCAUAACCGCUUCGAGCACCUCAACCUUGACAUGGGCGAAGAGUUUUCCCCUGCUUCACGUAUACUCACAAGGUGUACUCACACAAACAAAAUAUUGCAUUCACAUGGGGAUACAACGACCAAUUAGCUGUAGUACAUAUAGACAUCAAGUCCCUAUAGUCUGUAUUAACAUAUAUAACACAAAUGCAAUAUGACGGGAUACCUAUCAGAUUCAUAACAUGGUUAUCGGUAAUAGACGUCGAUAUUCUGAGCCCGUUUAUUUAUGGAAGCUAUCCACUCUAUAGUCUAUAGUACCGUAGUUGGAAUACCGGCCCCUCCGUAUUUCCGUGUCUACUCGACCGAUAGCCAUUUAAGAUUCUGACUUCCUAUACUGACCAUGCAAUAUCAUAAAUGACAAAUCAUACAAACAAUUCAAAACGUAUAAACAAACAUACUCAUACUUAUGUCAAUACAAUUACUAUAAUGUGACGGUAUCCCUAUCAGAUUCAUAACAUGGUUAUCGGUAAUAGACGUCGAUAUUCUGAGCCUGUUUUGAGGGGAGCUACCCACUCUAGUCUAUAGUACCGUAGUUGGAAUACUGGCCCCUCGUAUUCCCGUGUUUACUCGACCGAUAACCAUAUUAAGAUUCUGACGUUCCUAUACUUGCUCAUGCAAUACCAUAAAUGACAAAUCAUUCAACUCCAAUAAUAUAACCAUGUUAGAUCGAACUUGCACUUAGCAUAAAACACGUAACCAUAUAACACAUAACCAAAUAGCUAACAAACAUAUUCAAAACAUUUUCUCCCUUAGAGUUGAUUCUUCAAAUAACUCACAUAAUCAAUUCAAAUUGCAUAAAUAAACAUUCUUAUAACUCACAUAUAUUAUGCAACGUACACGUACCAUAUACAAGAGGUAUCACAUACAAGAGAAGGGGAUUAUCAUAUUAUUUCAUAUAACCACUUUCAUAGUUAUAACAUACCAAAGUGAUUAUCUUAAAUGCAUCAUUCAUGCGUUUCCUAAGCUAUACAUUUAUGUGAACAUAUAAGCAUACGAUAAUCAUAAUAGCACAUACGCACAUAAUAUAUGAAAUCCGAAUCCACAUAUUCUAUUCCAAAGAACUACAAGGAAAUCUGGCAGAUUCGGUACUUCAACUUUGGAAAUUCAUAUCUCUUAAACCGUACAUACAAACCUUAUGAAAUUAUCACACAACGUUCCCAUAUUAGAGAAUUAUAUCAUAUCAAAACAGUGCAGUAAAAUACCUAUCCAUGAGAGAGGAAUAAUUAAUUUAGUACAGCAACAGCAGCAGAAUUUUAGAACAGAGUAUUCAACUUUGAAAAUAUCAAAUAGAUCAUUCUUUCAACGAAACACCAUGAAAUUUCACGAAGAAUCAGAUUUAUAAGUCUAUAAUCAUAUCCAGUUGGAAUCGCAUGAAUCGGAACAAGGUAAAAUCUAAUUGAACACAUAAUUCAUAGAUGACUCAGAAAUCGUGCAGUUUCAGAAAACCGUUCAUAACUUGAUCAAUAAAAUUCCGAUUUAUGCAUACCAUAUAUCAAAACGAAGCUAACAGAAACAUGUACACGCACAAUUAAUUUCAUAAUUUUCGUAAAAUAAAUCAUCGAUGAAACAUGCACUGAAAUCUGUGGUUACGAAUCUGGAAAUCGAAUUGGGGUUCAUUGAAAUCUAUAUUUCAUGACCUAGAUCCCUAAAUCCGAUUCCUAAGCAUAUUAAUCAAUUAAAACACAUAAACAUCAUCUUAUUAUUAUCAUUAAUUCAGUAAAGACCAAAAGUCCUUACCUCUUUGAAGAAAAAUCGAAGACAAAGGGAAAGAGUAAACCGAAGGAUUCUUGGAACCUUUGGCUUGAAGACUUUUGGGGCUGAACUUGGAGGCUAUCGAGUGCCCGAUCUUCUUGCUAGUGUGGGGGAUUUUAUAGGGAAAUUAAUCCCAUUAAUUAGAUAUGAAACUUCCCGGAGAAGAAGGGAAAUUUGAUGAGUUCUCAUUGAAUCUGCCUGGGUGAGGCUGCCGAUGGAUGAGAGGAAGAAGAGUGAAGACCCAAAUUCCCUCGUUCCUUCUCGGAACUCCCGUCGGGAAAAUAGAGAAGGAAAGAGGAGGAAUCUUCCUUGGCUUAUACUAGGAAAUUAGGAGGAAGUUUCCCAAGGGCUAUUGUGCAAUAUUUAAAACCAUGGGGGUCCUAAUAGCAAUUUAGAAAAUAUGUUGUACACUAGACUACAUACUCUAAACAUGCAUAUACGGCACAUACAUGGCAAUCAUACACAAAUCAUAAUACAUGUAUCUAUAACAAUUAGAGAUUAAUACAUAGAUUAAUUACU
This 8629-nucleotide long non-coding RNA is filed under the name Erythranthe guttata (spotted monkey flower). RNAcentral describes it as "long non-coding RNA (EGUT_LNC000049)". The record is from RNAcentral. Lineage: Eukaryota; Viridiplantae; Streptophyta; Magnoliopsida; Lamiales; Phrymaceae.